This is a long non-coding RNA of Medicago truncatula (barrel medic), 1963 nucleotides long. RefSeq lists it as uncharacterized. The transcript is spliced from 4 exons. NCBI's taxonomy places the organism in Eukaryota, Viridiplantae, Streptophyta, Magnoliopsida, Fabales, Fabaceae. The record is from RefSeq and is a predicted model, not a curated record.
UCCUAAGUAAUAUUUUAUUUCUUUCAAUCUGUUAGAAUGAUGAAAGAAUUCAAUAUUUUAGAAUCGCUCGGGCAUGAUCACAUCAUACGCCUCUACAAGGUUUUACCGAAUGGGGUAGGCGUUUGUGCAAUCAUGCAAUACAUAUCAGAAGAUAUUUUGAAGUACAUCAAGAGGAACAGAGGGAUUAAAGAAAAUGAAGCAGAAAGUUUUUUCAGCAGGUAGAAAAUUUCUUCAAUUGUCAACUAACCUCUACUUUGGGCAGAUAAUCUCUGCUGUGGAGUUCGGUCACAGUAAACGUAUAGUACAUUUGGACCUUAAACCUGAGAAUAUACUGUUUGACGCGCACAACAGUUUGAAGCUUGUUGAUUUUGGCCUAUGCGAAAUCAUGCGUAAUGGUUAUUUUCUUCAGAAAAUUCCUGGAAGUCCUUAGUAUCCAGCUCCUGAGGUUGUCACAGGAAAACAGUAUGCCGGACCUAAAGUAGGUAUUAGAGCUGUGGUGCACUCUUAUACACACUUCUAUGUCAACAAGCUCCUUUUGGAGAUCACGAUAGCACCGUUUCCGAGAUCAUCGAACUAGUAAAGGAAUAAUUUCAUUUGAGUUUGUAAGGACAAAUAGAUUUCCAAUCAUCAUAAUUCGUCUGUUUUGUCGUUUGUUAUAUAUAGGAUGGGCAGUACACUCUUCCUAGCUAUCUAUCUCCUGGUGCCAAAUAAUUGAUAAGUGGAAUGCUUACAGUGGAUCCGAUAAAAAGAAUAACAAUAUCGGACAUUAAAAAGCAUCCUUGGUUUGCUACGGACCUUCCUCGUUAUUUGAAAUAGACUUCGACAGGGCCAAGAGAUUGAUAAAGGGAUUCUGCAUAUUUAGUUGAAAUUCGAUAUAAUGCAGAAGAGGUAAUAGAACUCCUUAGAGAAGGGAGACAAGACGAGGUUUGUUUCCUUCAUUUUCACUUUAGAUACCGGCAUGCCCAGAUUGCUACUAAUUACCAUCAUUUUUAGACAACCUGUAUGUUAUUAUUUGUUAUUCGACAAACACCUUCCUCUUCCCAGAGACAAUCUUGAAACUGAGUUUCAAAAGGCAGUGGUGGGUUUGUUUUCUCUUCUGAUUACGAUCAACUAAUUUCUUACUUUUACAACCGCUUUAUUUGAUGAAGUGAUUCAAUCAUUUUUAACUUACUUUUAAAUUGUAUCCCCGUGUGAAAUAUGCAGCAGUCUCAAAAUUGCUUGUUAUACUCUAUAAACAGUGUCCCAAUGAGUAAACCGUACUCUGAAACUUAUCUUUCUAGCUUGAACAUAGUUGUAUGCGUAAUUUUUUACGAAUGAAAAUGUGGUUUUUCUAUUCUUGAUAUUAUAAUUAUGUCUUUCUAGAACAGGAUACUAUGCAAAGCUCAUUAAUUUUGGUUUUAUGAUAUGACUGCUUAGGAUUCUGGUUUGAACCGUAUCCCCUGCAGUCAAGUUGCUUUUCAAAGAGUAGGGCCGAGGCAAGGUUUCCCAGUCGAGGGAAAGUGGUUCCUUGGGAUUUAGGUACAGUAUUUUAGAAGAUAUUUGCCUUCCUUCUCGUUGAAUAAUCAUGUGUAUAUUUAUAUACAAACCUGUCUUGGCGACCAAGCUUAAGCCUAGAAUUGGUCCCUUUGACUGGAGAGCUAGACGGAAGGUUAGCAAUUGUGGUGAACCAGCAAUAUGGUUGUACUCAAGUUUGAACUUCAGCUCUACAAAAUUCAGGAGAAUCAUCUGCUUAAUCUUAUAAGGGUUGAGGGCCUCACUUAUCUUUUCUUGGAUCUUUGUGCUGCCUUCCAAGCUAAGCUCCAUUUCACAUAGAUCUUACGAUAAAUGAUGAUGACUAUAGUGUUAAAUUAAUUUGCUAAUUAAGAUGCAUACUUAUGUUCAUCAAACGUGUAUGGAUCACUUUAUUUUGUAAUAACAAUUACAGCAAUCUUUGAUCAUAGAAAAAGCAGAAUCUGGCUGAGCA